CCGGGAUGGCCAAUGGCGGCGAGGCGGUGCCCUUGCGCUGGCAUCGUGGCAUAGAGGAAGGAAAAGGUGCGCGGAUCUUGUCAGCGGCUUCGGCC
Molecule: transfer RNA, 95 nt
Filed under: Pelagimonas phthalicica
Lineage: Bacteria; Pseudomonadati; Pseudomonadota; Alphaproteobacteria; Rhodobacterales; Roseobacteraceae
Description: Tropicibacter phthalicicus tRNA-???(tgcg)
Source: RNAcentral